GGGGAUAUAAGCAGAGGAGAAUACAAUCAUGGCCCAAAGGAUGUCCUGAGGCACACUCACAGUUUAAGCAAUGUACACAGACAUGGAAGCACUACUUCUCCAUGGCUCUUGAUACAAAAGCCAAAUAAUGCAUUGACUAUUGAAGUACAAGACGACUGAGUAGUUAAUGCACUCUGCAUUAAUGGCUAUUGAAGAAACUACUACUACAACAACACAUUCAGUGUAAUGCCACGAGCGAAAUUUGGAGAGGAGGCUGUAUUUGUAACCUUAUUCCAAACUUGAGAAGAUAGAGAGGAUGUUUCCGACAGAUCCUCA
RNAcentral lists this unclassified non-coding RNA (315 nucleotides) under Hevea brasiliensis (rubber tree). The record is from RNAcentral. Lineage: Eukaryota; Viridiplantae; Streptophyta; Magnoliopsida; Malpighiales; Euphorbiaceae.